CUUCGGAGAACGAUAUAGCUACCUAGUCUAAAUAUUUAAUUUGCGCUAUACGGUAUAAUUUAUAGUGGAACCAUGGAUCCUGAGAUUUUACUAAACAACCCUACUCAACCAGCGAGGAGGUCGACAAAAGUUAUGCCUGCCCAUACCAUAACCCCACCAACCCCCAUGGAGCAGUCUGUUCACAACGUUGACAUCAGCAAAUCCACUCACCCACACAACACCAUAUUCCCAGUACAAUUGAAACUGGGAUUCAUCAGUGAAAAGCACACUUGUCUAGCAGGCCAGGAAGGUGAGCAUCUGCCCACUGAAGUCGGUUACGAUGCCGAUCGGCAGUCAGGUCAAGACCCUGGUGAGAACGAUGAGCACCCAAAUGAGCUUCCCUGAGACGGUUUUGUACAGAAAUGAAUUGGUUGUGGAAACCCAGAGUUUCAUCAUCUGUCCGUGUGUGCACAGGGUAGAUUUUAUGAAUGAGUUUGUAUGAUAAUUCUUUCACCUUAUUAGAUAUACAAUAUUUACCAGAUAACAACAAAACUUUCUUCCAGUUCACUUGUCCUCGGGCUGCAUUCCAGUACAUUUUAGCAGAGGGAAUAGUAACAUAUUGACAUAGUUUCCUUAUAUACAUGUUAUUACAUUUAUAGUUUAAAAUUACAAUUCCUUCUAAUUGUAUUGAGGCUACAAAAUCCUCAACAGUUGCACUUGGAGUAUUGUUAUAUUCUCCUAAAAGAAGAAUAGCACCUUUAGGGACAGCUCUAACAACCAUUAGAUACUCAGGAGUGAAUGUAACAUUGUGUGUUCUAAUAAAUUCUGGAUAAUCAUAUAGUUGUCCAUCAUUGUUCAGUAAUUGUUUAACCCAAAUAAUGAAACCAGUUUUGGAAAAACAAA
Molecule: long non-coding RNA, 882 nt
Organism: Salmo salar (Atlantic salmon)
Lineage: Eukaryota; Metazoa; Chordata; Actinopteri; Salmoniformes; Salmonidae
Source: RefSeq, a predicted model, not a curated record